GGUCAUGAGCGCCAGCGUCAAGCCCCGGCUUGCUGGCCGGCAACCCUCCAACCGCGGUGGGGUGCCCCGGGUGAUGACCAGGUUGAGUAGCCAUGACGGCUACGCGGCAAGCGCGGGUC
Molecule: non-coding RNA, 119 nt
Filed under: Mycobacterium sp.
Lineage: Bacteria; Bacillati; Actinomycetota; Actinomycetes; Mycobacteriales; Mycobacteriaceae
Description: SAM-IV sequence
Rfam family: SAM (S-adenosyl methionine) riboswitch aptamer
About the family: SAM-IV is a mRNA element that regulates gene expression via direct sensing of S-adenosylmethionine (SAM or AdoMet). SAM-IV riboswitches share conserved nucleotide positions with the previously described SAM-I riboswitches sequence analysis and molecular recognition experiments suggest that SAM-I and SAM-IV riboswitches share similar ligand binding sites, but have different scaffolds.
Source: RNAcentral